UGGGUUUCCUAAGUUUCUCUUUUCUGUUGCUGUAAGGUUGAAUGACAGGUUCUUGAAAAGUAGAUUUUGGGGGAAAGAUUACGUUGUAGGUAGGAAAGAAUACUUUGUGGAGAGAUUGCUCCAGAUGUCCUGUUGAAGGCAGCUGCGGGCCUUCAGGUGACUGUACAGGAGCCCAGCUGUGCUGCUGGCCACUUCUCAAGCAGCUGAGUGAAUUUACCUCAUGUGUGCCCAAAUCAUGCCAUCCUCAGGCUGGUCAUCGUUUGUUCAAUUCACAUUAAGAUUUCUCCGAAAGAUAACCUUACAGGAUCAGUAUCUUACUAGCUGACCAAAACGUAUCAAAAGGAAUUCUGGCCCAAACAAUUGAAUAUCUAUCUACGGCUUCCUUUUUAAAUGAACCUAGGUUACAAAGAGAAACAUGAUAUCAAAUGCAUUCGUGGAAAGUUGCAAAGCCACAUUUGCUGCCCUUUGGGGGCAGUCUUCCCUUAAAUGUCAGAGCCCCUGAAGUGAAUUUACUCUUUGGAGAUGCACACCUUUUUCCAGCUUGGGAAGGGGAGCAUAGUCUCCCACUGCAGCACCUCAGUCAGAGGAAGCUUAGGACUUGCUGCACAUGGGUAGGUGGUCUUGAGCCAUCGCUGCUGUGGGCAGAAGCACUGACUGUUCCGGAAGUGAGCCAGGUUGGACCCAGGUGUUGGUGGGCACAUCCGCUUCCUUCAUGGAGAAUGAAGACUAAUGUCAUGGAUUGCACAUCAGCUACAAUCAUAGUCUAGUCCUCGCAGUAGAACAUACUAAUGUAUUAGGUUUUUUAAAUUCGAGACUUGUAUAGGCUUUAUGGAAUACGUCCACAAAUUGGUUUAUCCUUAAAGGAAAGUUUGAAUUUUUAAAUUUAUUUAUAACUCUCUCAUCUGAGGGAAAUGUCCUUGUUGUCUGUUAUAUUAAAGUGUUGACUCUAGUAAUAGCUUUAAUCUCUGACCCACUUUAAUUUUUUUCUCCCUGAUAAAUUUAUACAAGUAUUUAUCCACCAGAUCACCCUCUCUAUACCUUUGCUGGGCCUUAGUCUUGAUAGAACAUAGGCAGACUUAUCAAUAUAUUUUGUUUUCCUUGAGAAUAGAGCCUCACAUAAAGCCAGGCUGGCUUCUGACUCACUCUGCAGCCAAAGAUCACCUUGGAUUUUCCAUCUCCUGCCCCCAUCUCCACAGAGCUGAGAUCACAGGCAUGCAGCACCACACCCAGUUCUGUGUGGCACUGGAGACUGGAUCUAGGGCUCCACGUGUGCUAGGCAAGCACUCUGCCAAGUGAGCGACAUUCCCAGCCCUCAUCACUAUGCCUUUGAAGCACAGCGUGUGCUUCAAAUACACCACCCAGAGACCAUAUCUAGGAUGCACUCACGAGCAGCUAUUGGCCUGCAGUUUUCUGGAAAAGCUGCAAGAACACCAUCUUGUCUGCUCCUAGUAACGCUAAGUCCAAAUGAGGGCCCAGCGCUGCUGAAUAAGCAGAGGUCAUUUUCUCGAUGUGGCUCAUUCUCUUGGUUGUGUCUGUGAACCAACCGAACUCUGCCAACUUCUGCAGGAACACAGUUCACUUACUCUGUUCUGUCAGUGAGGACAGUGGGAGUAGUGGAUUCUAAGGCCCAAGGGUGAGGUUGGUUAACUUUCCCAUGUAUGAAAGAGAAAAGAAUAUACAGAAUUAUUUACUUGGCUUUUUAACAGGAUGUAUUUCAGGAAAAAAAAUUGAAGCUGUUUUUGUGAGCUGGAGUUUUGCUGUGUAGCCUUGAGUUUGUUCAAAGAAAGCUUUGUCUAAGGUGUUUAUUGCACAGGGACAGGCGAUGUCAAGACAUCCAACAAAGGAUUAUAGAGUCAUAUCAUUUGGAAGAUUUCUAAACACUGAGACUAUCUACCUGCUAUUUUUCUUAUGGGUCUCGUUUUUUAUUUGUGCAGUAUUUUCAGUCAUAUCUGCUACUGUUCGUUGUAUUUAUAUAGACGUUAGGGAACUUACUAAACAUUUUAGUAAGCAAGAAUUUGAGAAUGAAAGGAAAUAACAGAUACGCACUUUAAAUGAGCUUAAUUGCUUGGAGUUGUGCCUGAAAUGUCAAGAUGUCUCCUCUGGGUGUGGCUUUGUUCAGUGAAAUGAAUUUCCCUGUAAUUGUUCCUGGCUGAAGGUGGCUGUACAGUCUUCACAGAACUGUAUCCCAGCAUGCCACUUUGCCCAUGAUAGCACCGAGUUUUCUUUGAAUGUCCGUCACCCCCUUAAGUAUUUUACUCAGUGUAUCAAGACAACUUUAUUCCAGUAACUGUCCCUUCCGAGGUUCUGCGCCAUAGAUGGUGUCCCAGAUGUAGGUGGCUUCCUGGUUUCCCACCAGAGUGGUCCUACCAGAUUCCCGAGGUUGCACUGGAGUCCAGUAAGACCGUAGCCCCAUUUCCACUCUCUCCAUUCUCCACAGUAGCUUCCGUGUUGCUGAGUUAGCUUUGGUAGUUAUGUCUGCAUGCGGAUGCACACAUUUGAAAAUGAAGUAUAGCCGUAAUGUAAACCCAAGGGAUUUUCCCUGGAGGUGGUCACCUGCUCUUUUCCUCAUCGUGAUGCUUGAGUUCUCUUUUCUGUUGUUGAUCUUUCCAUGGGUCCCUUUAACUUCCUGCUGCCGCAGUCUGAGAGGCUACAUUUGGACAAGUGAUUGUGAGGCUCCUAUAAUUAUGUAAUUGAUUAACGAUUGUGGCUUCAUCUUGUUGAGUAAAAGCUGCCCCUUUCUUCCUGGCAGAGCAUUGCUAUGAUGAGGAAUGCUGGCCUUGAGAACUUAGUCACGGCUGACAAAAACCAGAAACAGUAUCUGCAAUGUUCUUCUCCCUUGAUUUUACAAUCCAGUUCCAAGUACAUAAUGUAUAUUAGAAUUUGCCUGUAAAAUGAAUUAUGGAAACCAGAUGUAAAGUCUCCUGAAAGUGUUGGCAUAGUAAUUAAAAAAUAAAGUUCAUAAUUAUAAAAGCAUGCU
Molecule: long non-coding RNA, 2977 nt
Filed under: Rattus norvegicus (Norway rat)
Lineage: Eukaryota; Metazoa; Chordata; Mammalia; Rodentia; Muridae
Description: long non-coding RNA NONRATT011806
Source: RNAcentral